Molecule: transfer RNA, 73 nt
Filed under: Daphnia magna
Lineage: Eukaryota; Metazoa; Arthropoda; Branchiopoda; Diplostraca; Daphniidae
Rfam family: tRNA
About the family: Transfer RNA (tRNA) molecules are approximately 80 nucleotides in length. Their secondary structure includes four short double-helical elements and three loops (D, anti-codon, and T loops). Further hydrogen bonds mediate the characteristic L-shaped molecular structure. tRNAs have two regions of fundamental functional importance: the anti-codon, which is responsible for specific mRNA codon recognition, and the 3' end, to which the tRNAs corresponding amino acid is attached (by aminoacyl-tRNA synthetases). tRNAs cope with the degeneracy of the genetic code in two manners: having more than one tRNA (with a specific anti-codon) for a particular amino acid; and 'wobble' base-pairing, i.e. permitting non-standard base-pairing at the 3rd anti-codon position.
Source: Rfam by way of RNAcentral
GCGGGAGUAGCUCAGUUGGUAGAGCGCAACCUUGCCAAGGUUGAGGUCGCGAGUUCGAGCCUCGUUUCCCGCU